GUCCACGCCCUAAACGAUGUCUACUGGUUGUUGGGUAUAUAUAAAUACUUAGUAACGAAGCUAACGCGUGAAGUAGACCGCCUGGGAAGUACGGUCGCAAGAUUAAAACUCAAAGGAAUUGACGGGGACCCGCACAAGCGGUGGAUGAUGUGGAUUAAUUCGAUGCAACGCGAAAACCUUACCUACCCUUGACAUGUCAAGAAUUUCGCAGAGAUGUGGAAGUGCUCGCAAGAGAACUUGAACACAGGUGCUGCAUGGCUGUCGU
This 265-nucleotide ribosomal RNA is filed under the name uncultured bacterium. RNAcentral describes it as "partial 16S ribosomal RNA". It matches the Rfam family "Bacterial small subunit ribosomal RNA", at positions 793 to 1055 of the family's 1533-position model. The record is from RNAcentral.